GUAGGUGAACCUGCGGAAGGAUCAUUAUUGAAUAUUCUUGAUGGGUUGUAGCUGGCUCUCCGGGGCAUGUGCACACUUGUCUUGACUUUAUUCGUUCACCUGUGCACCUUUUGUAGUCUUGGGGGUUGAGAGCAGUCGACUAUCGGAUGGCUAUAUGGCCUUUUCGGACGUGAGGAAUGCUGAGUGCGAAAGCAUACAGCUCUUCUCAAAUGACUUGCAAAACCUCUCCCUCGAGUACUAUGUAUUCAUA
RNAcentral lists this unclassified non-coding RNA (250 nucleotides) under plant metagenome. Its description in RNAcentral is "partial contains small subunit ribosomal RNA, internal transcribed spacer 1, and 5.8S ribosomal RNA". The record is from RNAcentral.